UACGGAGGAUGCGAGCGUUAUCCGGAUUUAUUGGGUUUAAAGGGUGCGCAGGCGGAUAGUUAAGUCAGCGGUGAAAUGUCCGGGCUCAACCGGGGCACUGCCGUUGAUACUGGCUAACUUGAGUGCGAGCGGCGCCGGCGGAAUGUGUCAUGUAGCGGUGAAAUGCAUAGAUAUGACACAGAACACCGAUCGCGAAGGCAGCUGGCGAGUACGGCACUGACGCUGAGGCACGAAAGCGUGGGGAU
This 245-nucleotide ribosomal RNA is filed under the name uncultured Bacteroidales bacterium. RNAcentral's name for it is "partial 16S ribosomal RNA". It matches the Rfam family "Bacterial small subunit ribosomal RNA", at positions 524 to 768 of the family's 1533-position model. The record is from RNAcentral. Lineage: Bacteria; Pseudomonadati; Bacteroidota; Bacteroidia; Bacteroidales.